GCUGGGUGUGGUGGUGCAUGCCUGUAAUCUCAGCGACUUGGAGGCUGAGGCAGGAGGAUUUCGAGUUCAAAGCCAGCCUCAGCAAAGACUAGACACUAAGCAACUCAGUGAGACCCUGUCUCUA
This 124-nucleotide small RNA is filed under the name Marmota monax (woodchuck). The record is from RNAcentral. Lineage: Eukaryota; Metazoa; Chordata; Mammalia; Rodentia; Sciuridae.